UGGGUAUGUUGCUUUAAUUG
This 20-nucleotide non-coding RNA is filed under the name Rattus norvegicus (Norway rat). The record is from RNAcentral. Lineage: Eukaryota; Metazoa; Chordata; Mammalia; Rodentia; Muridae.